Wyeomyia smithii (pitcher-plant mosquito) is the source of this 1350-nucleotide long non-coding RNA. RefSeq lists it as uncharacterized. The transcript is spliced from 3 exons. The record is from RefSeq and is a predicted model, not a curated record. Lineage: Eukaryota; Metazoa; Arthropoda; Insecta; Diptera; Culicidae.
UUACACGAACGAAGGCCAGUUCAAUGUAUAACUACUAGCGAAUUUCUUUAUUCCACGGGGUUAGUGCCAACUUUCGUGUGGAAUAAAAAAACGAUCUCGAUCUCGAUCUACGAUCUAAAGCCUUGCGUUGGUGUCCGUGAGACUAUGUGCAAUCAUCACCCGCGUGUUUUGACCGUUUUGACAGAUACGAUGUAAUAGUAUUGGUGAACCCACUCGCAAAACUGACAAAAAUCACAGUGCGAACCUGUCUGUUUUGCAGGCGCUUCCAGGUCAAAACUGGGUCAAUAUCGAGCGAAUAAAGAAGGGGUUUGACAGCAGUUAGUGCGCUUUUAGGUCAAAACGAGGUGAGCUGGUGGAAUAAAGAAAUUCGCUAUACGAUUCAGUGCGGGAUCAAAUAAUCGGCAACGAUAAGUAUUUCUACUGCAUUCGCGAAUUUUUCGUCGGACUGGCAUCAGAUUAUCAAUGUGGAUUUUCAUCAAUUCAUUCCGCAGAAUUAGUGAUUUCCUUGGUGAGUCAAGUGUGCGAAAAAGGGUUUAAUUUUCCAGCUAUCAGUGGACUAUAUGACCAAGAAACGGAGGAUUUAUGGACUGAACUUUAUGUGACCAUCGACCAUCAUUAUUUAACUCGCCACAAAACCGAGCAACCAGUCUAUAUAUUUGCCUGCAGUCUAUCGACGUUGUCUUCAAUUUACUAGAUCCUUCUGCAAAAAGGUUUCCUGAUGCAGGAUGAUGUGGUCGUCAAAAAAUGUCCUAAAAACACUCCAGGAAUCUAACCAUUUGAAUAUUCCGCUAAAUUUAAAAAUAACGAAACAUUACUUGCCCACAAAGAAUUCAAAUGGAUAAUAUUCGCCUGUCCGAGCACUUGAUUUGAGACAACCCAAGCACUAAAGAUCCUUUAAAAGGAAGUAGAGGAAUGUGUUUCUGUGACGGCGCCCAUGUUCGAAAUGUUUCGUGACUGAUAUUUAAUAGUUUAACGCACUACUUGCAGAACAAGACACCGCGAAAGGGGUGUAAAAGUUAUACAAUAUUGAAUCGAUAGCAACUGAGAGAUUAACAUCUCAAACUCCUAAUCGGAUUCUACGCGGUAAUAACGGAUCACGAUCCGUUGUCAGUUACGAACAAAGUGCUGAACAUGUGCUGCUAGAACAUGGAAACCGUGCCCAAAACAAAGCUGGCUUCAAACUGGAAAAGGAACUAGCGAAUGGUACCGAGCAAGAAGCACGACCUUUUCUAACCAAACACGUCGCGGGUGAACUUCAGAAUCGAUAUGAGUAGAUGGGGUCCCAAACUUUCGUCAUCGAGCAGAAAAAUAUCUGUUCUGUGGACGAAGCAGGCCAAAAGGCUUGUCGUA